This 1680-nucleotide long non-coding RNA is filed under the name Canis lupus familiaris (dog). RNAcentral describes it as "lncRNA (ENSCAFG00845012326.1)". Lineage: Eukaryota; Metazoa; Chordata; Mammalia; Carnivora; Canidae. The record is from RNAcentral.
UUAUACAAACAUAAAAUAAUUUAAUCAUUAUGAAAACAGAAGACAUGAUGGAAAAAUAAAAAUAAAAAAGGACUCCCCCAGUUAGCAUUAGUUUGAUUCCAGUAUCAGUUUUUCACUUUAUCAAUUUUUCACUUUUUGAUCUUUGUAUUUCAUAUGAUUAGAAACACAUGUAAAAAUAGUCUUUACGUUUUGCCUGAAGUGUUCAUGGAUGAAAAUUCAUAUAAAUGAGUACAUUAAAAAUAUAUAUGAACAUAAGCUCCUAUUUUACUUGUUUAAAUACAGAAAUCCGAAAUUUCAGAAAUAUCUAUGGGUUUUAAUACUACACAAAUUCAAAUGUCCCAAAGUUAAAUACUGAUUUCACAAAAUACAGUAUAAUUAGAAAAUAUCAGUUAUAACAACUUUAUAUUCCUAAGUUUCAAAUGGAAAAUUUUCCAUGGAUUCCUAUAAUUUCCAGAUAAUCAAUGUCCUGGUAGAAUCAGCUCAUAAAAAGAGGUGAGCAUCGAUAAUGAUGGCCUAUUGUAACUACAGUCUCAUGUUUUGCAUCAUAUUUGCAUACUGAGCUUUAAUACAGAAACCUAAAUUCUUAUGGAUUCAUAGAUUCUUAAUGGAUUCAUAGAUCAUACCUGAAAUCCUAAUUUUGCAUUCUGUGAUAACUUCACUUAUCACCCUGGGGGGAAAACAAACCACAUUCUUUGUUUCUAGGAUCUGAGUUUCUACUGUUUUGGGGCUUAAACUGGUAUUAAAGUCAUUUAAAAGGCCAUUUUCAAAAAAAAAAAAAAAAAAAAACUCAAAUAAGAAGUGAUUCCUGGGAUCCUAGGAGAAAUCUAUGAAGACACAUGGAUGAAUUAAGCAUAGGAGUAAAGUGAGAGAAAAUAUUGAGGUGUAUUUGGGCCCUCAUUUUCUUCCACUUUUCCCCACAAACAAUUCCCCCCCUAUUGUCUAGAACUGACUGUAUCUCUUCUGAGAUGUAAGGGUUUGGUCUUUAGCUCUUGAGUGCUUUUAAAGGAACCUAGAAAGGCUUGCUCUCUAAGAGGUUUUGAAACCUCUCCUGGGUUAUCUGUGAAGGUGGCAAUCACGGAUUUUACUUUUAAAUGUCAUCUUUUCGGGACGCCUGAGUGGUUCAGUGGUUGAAACAGGAGUGCAAUAGGAAACAAGGUAAGCUAUUCGUCUGAAAAACAAAACAAAACAAAAAGAUGUUAAGUGUACAUUUAGAAAUCAAGAGGAAUCAAAGUAAACAAGAUAAAGUAUGGAAAAGGGAGUCACAGCAUUCCUUUAUUUCUUUCAGAAAGUGACAAACUUCUUCGAAUAAGAUGGGGGAAGAGGGCUGAUUUGCCUCAACCAAUUGUGAGAAAAAUCUAUGAAUCAGUCAGUACCCAAAGACAACCAUGGCCAGACUCGACUUGUACCAGAGACAGACAAAUUUUUCCCAAAUUCCCUUUCCUCUUUUUGCUAUAAAACAACCAGCAUACAGGGACGCCAGGGUGGCUCAGCGGUUUAGCGCAGCCUUCAGCCCAGGGCGUGAUCCUGGAGACCGGGGAUCGAGUCCCACGUCAGGCUCCCUGCAUGGAGCCUAGUUCUCCCUCUGCCUCUCUCUCUCUCUCUCUCUCUCGCUCUGUGUCUCUCAUAAAUAAAUAAAUAAAAUCUUUAAAAAAAAUUCUUAAAAAAAAAAAAAAAAAAAAA